This is a ribosomal RNA of Lepisosteus oculatus (spotted gar), 118 nucleotides long. Lineage: Eukaryota; Metazoa; Chordata; Actinopteri; Semionotiformes; Lepisosteidae. The record is from Ensembl.
AGCAGCAGCAUAUCACCCUGCAACUCACAACUGGCAACCCACUGAAGCUAAGCAGGUGUGAGCCUGGUCAGUACCUGGAUGGGAGGCCUCCUGGGAAAAACUAAGGUUGCUGCUGGAA